AUUGAACGCUGGCGGAAUGCUUUACACAUGCAAGUCGAACGGCAGCACGGGGGCAACCCUGGUGGCGAGUGGCGAACGGGUGAGUAAUACAUCGGAACGUGCCCAGUCGUGGGGGAUAACGUAGCGAAAGCUACGCUAAUACCGCAUACGAUCUCUGGAUGAAAGCGGGGGACCGCAAGGCCUCGCGCGAUUGGAGCGGCCGAUGGCAGAUUAGGUAGUUGGUGGGGUAAAGGCUCACCAAGCCGACGAUCUGUAGCUGGUCUGAGAGGACGACCAGCCACACUGGGACUGAGACACGGCCCAGACUCCUACGGGAGGCAGCAGUGGGGAAUUUUGGACAAUGGGCGAAAGCCUGAUCCAGCCAUUCCGCGUGCAGGAUGAAGGCCCUCGGGUUGUAAACUGCUUUUGUACGGAACGAAACGGUCCUGGUUAAUACCUGGGGCUAAUGACGGUACCGUAAGAAUAAGCACCGGCUAACUACGUGCCAGCAGCCGCGGUAA
Molecule: ribosomal RNA, 500 nt
Filed under: uncultured bacterium
Lineage: Bacteria
Description: bacterial SSU rRNA
Rfam family: Bacterial small subunit ribosomal RNA
Source: RNAcentral